Molecule: long non-coding RNA, 2405 nt
Filed under: Homo sapiens (human)
Lineage: Eukaryota; Metazoa; Chordata; Mammalia; Primates; Hominidae
Description: HSALNT0311654
Source: RNAcentral
UGAUCCUCCCGCUUUGGCCUCCCAAAUUGCUGGGAUUACAGGCAUGAGCCACUGUGCCUGGACAACUAGUGCAUUUUUUAAUACUAGGUUUGAUAAUGAAGUGCAUAGUUGUGGAAAAAUAUGAUUGGAGGACAACACGGUGUGAUCUAAUAGCAAUACGCUGGGGGAAACUUAACAAGGCCUGUCAGUUCAAUUCUUCUUGGUGUCCCUGUGUCUUUGAGGAUAAGGAUGUUCCUAUAAUUCAGAUACAGGCAGGAUACCUCUGGAAGGGGGGGUCUUAUGACCGACUGCAGGGAGGAAGGUCAGAUAAUUCUGUUAUGGCCUACUUCAGGGGUGAAGGCUGAGAGGAAAGUCAGAGAUACCUUCCUGCUUCUGCAGUUUUCUCAAAUGCCAAGGCGCCAUAUUUUGGGAUAGAAUGUAAUGAAGCCCAUCAGAAGUGAAGGGGAAAAGGCACUUAGGUGAAAUCCUUAAGUAGUGUAUUGUAAUUAAUAGCAAGACUCACAUCUGGUUUCUUGACUGUAGCUUUAAUUUUAUUUCCACUAGAAUCUCUUUUAAAUUUAUUGAUGGUUCUAGCCACCCUCCCCACCCACAUGUUUCCUUGUUUGGGGUGUAAUGGAUCAUGGAGCUAGUAAGCUAUAAAGUAGUGAAUUAAAUCCUUACUACCGUAUUCCUCCCAAUUUGAAUUGUGGAAGAAUACAGCAGUCUUUUUUGUACAGAAAGAGACAAAAGGUCAUUUUAAUUUUAAUAACUGGAUAUGGUAGGAGAUGGUUCCUUCUUACUUUCUCACUUUUCUGUAGAAAAACCCAGCAAGCUUAGAGAUCUCUAAGCUCCUCUGGCUUAGAGAUGCCUCCUUCUGAAAGCUUGGCUGGUGUUUAUCUGGGUCGUUAGAGCAGACGUUCACAAAAUGGUCAGUUUUGUAAACUUUAAAAGGGAAAGGUUGAGGAAGUGGAUAUCCAAUCCUAUUGCUUACUGAGGUAUGUAUUCUAAUUGGCUCAGAAUGGAUUAUGUUUUCACCCAAAGACCAUUCUGUAUUUGAGCCAAAGUUUAGUGCUUUAUAAUUGUACUGAGGGUACUAAUCCUUUUUAAAACGAGGAUUUGGUUUUGAUACAUAGAUGACUUAUGUUUCUUACUCCAGCUUUGACCUUUAAUAUUGGCACCUGUUUCUGGUUUCUCCUCUAUAGGGCAGCUCCACUUGGGAAUCCCAUUGACAUCUAAAAGAAGUGUAUUACAGAAUACUCAAUGAAAUAGAAAUUGAUGAGUAUUUUCAAAGCCAACAUUGUACCUAAUGAGGAAAAUUUGGAGACAUCUCCUCUAAAAUCCCUACUACUACUACACAAUUAGAGAAGAGGAAGAAAACAGAGAUAUCAAAGUUAAAAAGGAGUUUCAGAAACAGUGUGUCCUUUGCCAAAGAGUGAGCUAGGAUCACCCAUGAAUACACAUGAGGAGAGAAACGGCAAAUGGGUAAAGUGGAAAACACCAUUUUCAUUUCUAAGCUGUUCAUGGCCAAAUGGCAUGCAGAGAGCCCAGCAGUGCUCAGUCCAGAUGUGGCAGGCUCAUUCACCAUGCAGCCCUUCUUUCAGCUCACACAGCUGUGCAGAGGCUCCUCCCUGGGUUAGGAAGCAGGGAAAGGUGAGGAGAACCGGGCCCUGCCUCAGACACUCCUGGUUCACUAGGAAGCCAGUCAGCACUAGAACUGGGUGGAAUAGAACAGGGGCUACGUAGAAGGACAACCAGCACUAGUGGAAUGAAACCCUCACCAGAGGGAUGACAGGAGGCACCGCAGGGAUACUGUCACUUCAGUAGGGAAUUAAAAGAUGGACAUGGUCUCAUGAGUAGCUAAGAAGAGGCAGAGGGAAUUUGUGAGCAAAAGCCUAGGAGUGGGAAAGAUAAAUUAGCCAAGGCAUGGUUGUAGGUGUGGUUUGAGGGGACAGGUGGGAGAUGUGAACUGCCAGAAUGACAUUCCAGAAGGACAAUGUGAGGAUGCAAUGUGCCCUAGAGGGAGCACUAGGAUGCAGGCAAGGCACAACUCCAGUCGAUGGAGGGGGGCAGAUGGGGAGAGGAUGGGGAUGGGGUGAGUGAAAAGAAGUUAUUGGCUGUAAGUGACUAUUACACUAAUUUCCAUUGCAUAAAUGGAAGGAUUCACAUUUCUAGUUUUUUUAAAAAAAGGUGUGAGAAGGAGUCUUAAAAUUAAUGUCAUUAAUCAAGACAGAGCAUGUUCAAAAGACUGCUUUGGUUUCAGAGUCCUGGUGAUAUGGUUUGAAAGUGUCCCCACCCAAAUUUCGUCUUGAAUUGUAUUUCUCAUAAUCCCCACGAGUCAUGGGAGGGGCCCACUGGGAGGUAAUUGAAUCAUGGGGGCGGUUACCCUCAUGCUAUUCUUGUGAUAGUUAGUGGGUUCUCACGAGAUC